RNAcentral lists this ribosomal RNA (253 nucleotides) under uncultured bacterium. RNAcentral describes it as "partial 16S ribosomal RNA". It matches the Rfam family "Bacterial small subunit ribosomal RNA", at positions 524 to 776 of the family's 1533-position model. The record is from RNAcentral.
UACGGAGGGAGCUAGCGUUGUUCGGAAUUACUGGGCGUAAAGCGCGCGUAGGCGGCUUUGUAAGUUAGAGGUGAAAGCCCGGAGCUCAACUCCGGAACUGCCUUUAAAACUGCAUCGCUUGAAUCCAGGAGAGGUGAGUGGAAUUCCGAGUGUAGAGGUGAAAUUCGUAGAUAUUCGGAAGAACACCAGUGGCGAAGGCGGCUCACUGGACUGGUAUUGACGCUGAGACGCGAAAGCGUGGGGAGCGAACAGG